This 1056-nucleotide ribosomal RNA is filed under the name Triticum aestivum (bread wheat). Its description in RNAcentral is "partial small subunit ribosomal RNA". The record is from RNAcentral. Lineage: Eukaryota; Viridiplantae; Streptophyta; Magnoliopsida; Poales; Poaceae.
AUGCCGACCAACGGUGAGGCCCCAGCAGCGGAGACGGCGGCACCGGCGGGGCCGGCGUCGCUUGGAUGGGGAUGGGGUUCAUGUCCUGCGCUGUACGUGUCCUACGGCUUGUCCGCCCUGAAAGGCCGGCAACCGGAGCUGACGGGCGCCCUGGCUGCCGUGCCGUCGUUCACGGCGCUGUCGCCGCCCAUGGGGCUCGACUACUUCGGGGUCUUCGACGGCCAUUCGGGCGCGGCCGUCGCCAAUUACCUGACGGAGCAGCUGCACGGCGCCAUCGCGGACCAGAUCUUGCGCGAGCUGGUCGCCGAGGCCCCGCGGUUCCUCCACGGGCCGCAGGGAGACGUGGAGGGGUGGUGGAGGACGGCCAUGGCGGACGCGUUCCAGACAGUGGACGCGGAGCUGCUGAAGGGAGCAGGCGGUGUGGACGCUUCGGUCGCCGGCGCGACGGCCCUCGUGGCGCUGGUCCUGGAGGAGUACGUGGUGCUCGCCAACUGCGGCGUUUCCAGGGCCGUCAUCUCCCGCGGCGGCGAGAUCUUGCAGCUCACCUCCGAGCACCGGUCAAACAGGCCUGAUGAGAAGCAGCGUGUGGAAAACGGCGGGGGACGCGUGGAUGAAUCCACCAACACAGUUGACGAGUUUCUGCCAACCUCCCGCGCAUUUGGCAUCUAUAUGUACAAGCAAUACGUGAUCGUCGAACCCGAGGUGACAGCGGUGGGUCGCGAUCCGCGGGACGAGUUCCUGAUCCUGGCCACCGCCGGGCUCUGGGACAGCGUCUCGCCGGUGGAGGCGUGCCGCGUGGUGGAGCGGAAGCUGCGCAGCAGGUCGCGGAGCGCCAUAGCGUGGGGGGCGGCGCCCGACAACAACAGGGUCUCGGCAACCAUGCUCGCCAAGGAGCUGGCCCAGCACGCGGUCCGCGCGGGCAGCACGGGCAACGUCAGCGUUAUCGUCGUCCUCUUCAGGGACGAUCCCGCUGCCACGGCCUCCCCUGCUCCGGUGUUGGCCAGCGGGCGCGUCCAGCGCCCGCGGCGUGGGUGUCGCUCGUGUGGCUCUCCGUGA